UCACCAUCUGAGGACAUAGGAAGACAGUGCAAUCUAGGAGAAAGCAGGCUCUUACCAGACACCAAAUCUGUCAGCACCUCAAACGGGAAUUUUCCAGCCUCUAAAACUGUGAAAUCUUGUGUCGGAUCACCAUGCACCUCUUCAGGAUAGCGGAGAAGAACACAUAAUCUCCGUAGAGAGCGUGGAUUCCAGAAGAAAGGGCAGAGCUGCACAAUCCCCAGUGCUUCAUGCUAAUCUCACCAAUCAAUUUUGCACUGCUGUUGAAUUUGUCUUCAUUCAUCUUGGGAACCAAUGAUCGAUACAGCCUCUUCUACAAGUGACUGCUUAAGCAAAAAGAGGAAGAUUCAUGGGAGCUUUAAGAACAGAGUGGUAUCUCUGGAUAAUUUCAGCCAAUUUCAGUUGGUUGUCUAUCUUCUCUUUUAUCUUCUGUAGGUUUUUUAGUAAACUAAACUUGACUUAUUUGCUUUGUGAAGAAACAUGUUCCUUCAGCUUCAUUCCAGUGCAGCUCUUCUCAACUGUCUCGAACAAUGACAUUUAACUGGCUUUCAUUCCUUCAGUUUGAGACAGACCUCUAACCACUAAAACUGAAUUUUCAAAAUAAACUUCUGAUUUUAUCUGCCUUCACCUAAGUGCCCUGGCUCUUUUAGUACCAUUCCCUUCCUCACACAUCAUGGAACGUCCAAACUAAAUUGCCUUGAGGACUAUGAAUUUGUCAAGUUUGCUUUCCCUAUUUGUUGAAAAUAAUGUCAAUAUUUAUGUGAUUAAUAUAUUUUAGUUAUUUAUAUGCUUGGUGUGAGUAUCUUGGUUAGCAAAUGUUUCAAUUACUUAUGUGCUUGGCAUUAGUAUGGAUAGCAUUCCAUAUUUUGACUUAAGUAUUUUUACAAACUUCACCUAUUUCUUGUUCCAUAUGCAUUUUACCUGGUGUAUUGGCCAAAGAUCAGUACAUAGCUCUCAUUGGGAAAUUUUCUUUUAGCUUUUUUCCACCAAAGGAAAAUUCUGAAGAAAGUUGACACUAGAUCUGUGUACUUCCUUCUAACAUGCUUAGGCACUUUUAAGGGAAACUCAAAGCUAAAAAUUCUCUUUAAUAAUUUUUUUCUUAUAAGUAAACGAGUAGUAAUUUUGUUGUACUCCACAACUUUCUAACACUUAUUUCAUUUUUUUUUGAGUUUUUAAUUUUGUAAUCUCCUUGGGCUUACUAGUAACCUAUGGAAAGUUUCUCAUUAUUUCCUUUUGAUAAAUGGAGAAUAUAUUGAACUCGUUUUAUAGUUUAUAUAAUAAAAAUUGUAUAAUUUUCUUUCUAAUGUUUUUCAUGAUUGCCUUAAACCUACUAAUAUUUAGAUAUAAGAUAUUUCUAUGGACUUUGUUUUUUUCCAGUAAUAAUUGACAGGAUUAUUUGAAUCAAACUGCCAAUAGAAAAAAAGAAAAAUUCUAGAUAAAAUAUUAAAAACAGAUCUAAACAGCAUGGGGUGGCUAAACUGAUGAUAGAAAGAGGCUGGGCCAAAACAUGAGGGUAAACUUUAGCUAGAGAGAUACAUUUUAAACCAAAAAAAACAAAGCAUUUUGUCUUGAGGGCAUUUACCCAUAGUUUACAACGAGGUUCAAAGUGGGAUGAAAAUUCAGCAUUUUAGGAAACCUCUUGACAAUAACUUGGAAAUAAAAUAACCACUCUCUUUUAAAGAUGAGCAAGAAUUAGAUACUCUUAUCUUAUUCUCCCAAACCUAAAGUUAUAGAAGCUGAGCAAAGCAGGUGAAAUGAAGAUAAACCAAGAACCUAUGGCACUACAUAUGAAUGUUCUAAAUGCCCCAAUUUAAUGACAACCAGUCUCUUAUUGGAAAAAAACAAUACCAACAACAUGGUACUUAGAAGAGACAAAUAUAAAAUACAAGAGUAAAAGCAAUGGAUUAAAAAUGAUAUAUUAUGCAAACUGUAUUUUCAAGCACUCACAGAAAAUCUACCACAAAUUGAAUAUGCAUAUAAGGAAAAAGAAUGGAACCCACAUACCAUUCUGGUGAAUAGCGCCAGUCAAUUUUGCCACUUUGGAAAAUCGAUUGGUAUGUUAAAUAUAUUUGAAGUUGCACAUACCCUAUGGCCUAAUAAUUAUGUUUGUAAUAUUCAUAAGUAUACAGGCUUUUAAAAUUCACUCAUAUGUGCAUUUGGAUGUUUAUAUGAGAAAAUUAACAGGAGCACUAAAGUAACCAGAAACUUUAAACAACUCAAACAUUCAUCAACAGUACAAUGAGAAAAACAAAUUGCCCGGGCGCGGUGGCUCACGCCUGUAAUCCCAGCACUUUGGGAGGCCGAGACGGGUGGAUCACGAGGUCGAGAGAUCGAGACCAUCCUGGUCAACAUGGUGAAACCCUGUCUCUACUAAAAAUACAAAAAAUUAGCUGGGCAUGGUGGCGCGUGCCUGUAAUCCCACCUAAUGGGGAGGCUGAGGCAGGAGAAUUGCCUGAACCCAGGAGGCAGAGGUUGCGGUGAGCCGAGAUUGCGCCAUUGCACUCUAGCCUGGGUAACAAGAGCAAAACUCCGUCUCAAAAAAAAAAAAAAAAAAAAAAAGAAAGCAAAUUAUGGAAUAUUCAUGUAAUGAAAUAUUAAGACAAUGAAGAUGAACAAACUGCAAGUUAAGUGAUCACAUUUUGCAAACAAAAGUGAGAAAAACAAAAGCUAAAAACCCAAAAUAAUAAGAUUUAUUUAUGUUUAUAUAAAAUUGAAAAGCAGAGAAAAUCAAAGUAGGAGUCAGAAACCAUGGCCCCUGGGUGAUUACAGAUACAUUCACACUUUUGCCUAUCAUUCUAUGGCUAUUUUUCUACUAUAAUAGCAGUGACACAGUAACUGUGACAGAGACCCUAUGACCUGCAAAGACUAAAAUCUUUCAUAUCUGACGUUUGUGGAAAAUGUUUGUCAGUCUUGAAAUUAAAUUACCAUUUAGGAAUGGAAAUGUAAGUGCUAAUAUUUAAAAUAAAACAAAGAACAUGGAAAUAA
Molecule: long non-coding RNA, 2982 nt
Organism: Callithrix jacchus (white-tufted-ear marmoset)
Lineage: Eukaryota; Metazoa; Chordata; Mammalia; Primates; Cebidae
Source: RefSeq, a predicted model, not a curated record